AAGCGCGUGCUAUGCGUCGCAUUAUACAUAAAAUCGACAGAGGUGGAAAAAAGAGAACGACAGACAACAGAGAAGAAUAAAAGGCAUGCCCAAAAUUCUGCUUAAGGCAAAGUCCUCACAUAAUAUACAUAAAAAUAAAAACACAAAUACGUCGAAGCAAUCGAAUUUUAUUUAUAUUGAUCAAAAAAAAAAGUUUGGGAGAAUUUUUGAACACUUUGCUGACAGCUUUAAGCCAAAACUGGUAUUUCAAGGCCAAAUUUAUUGACAAGACAGCACAAAAUCACAUUGGGAUUGGGAUUGAGCUCGAUGACGUUAGCAUUGAUUAAAGAUAAGAAAUUAAAUGUGUCAAAAUUGUUUUUUUAUUUGUCAUGCUGAGAAGAAUGCCUUAAAGCAUUUACAAUAAAAAGUGAUUCUAAUGACAAUGAGA
Molecule: long non-coding RNA, 427 nt
Organism: Drosophila innubila
Lineage: Eukaryota; Metazoa; Arthropoda; Insecta; Diptera; Drosophilidae
Exons: 2
Source: RefSeq, a predicted model, not a curated record